GUAGCAACAUCCUCAUUGGGCUUUUCCUCGGGGAGCUUACGAGCUGGACCACCUUCUAAUGGCUUUCGACAUAAAAUCACCACCAAAACAAUAAAUAACACAACCAGACGAGAAAGGAAAAAUAAAUAAAUAACUAGGAUUACAUUAAGCAUUACCAAGAAAUCAGCAGCUGUAGAAGCAGUAACAGUUACAGAAGCAGUAGCAGCAGCUUCUCUUUUUUUGUGAGAAGAAGCUGAUAAUUGAGCAGAGGCUUUGCUCAAUUGCUUUUUCAUCGCCUUUUUCGCCUUCGCCCCCAUUUCGCUGCUGCGAAUUCAAUAAUAUGUUACUAAUCACAAUUUAAAUGAAAUUGAAUGAUUUAAUUUGGGAAAAAAAAAUGUAUAUACCAAUUGCAAGAAAUUGAAUUUAUAAACAAAAUUACAAGAAAUUGACAACAUUUACAGGAGUGCAGACUGCAGAGAACGAAAGUAUUCCCAAAUAAACUCACGGGUGCAAAAUCCAAGUCUAAUGGAGCUACAGUUUCUUUUAAAUUCAGUAUUUUCCCAGAAAACAAACAGAAAUUUAGGGUUCAUGAGAGAGCAAGCAAAAGGCAUAACUUGAAGGCAGCCGACAUUGUCAUGCCAUGAUAACAAUUAAAGCAGAAAAAGUAACAAAAAUCACCACUAGUUACAGAAGAGAGAGAGAGAGAGAGAGUAUGGUUUACCUUUACCUGGAGAAGUGUAAAGAUGCAGACUGGGAGUCUGAAAGUGGAGGAGGAGGAGGAGGAGAAAGAAAGAGGAGGG
Molecule: long non-coding RNA, 779 nt
Filed under: Malus domestica (apple)
Lineage: Eukaryota; Viridiplantae; Streptophyta; Magnoliopsida; Rosales; Rosaceae
Description: long non-coding RNA (MDOM_LNC015951)
Source: RNAcentral